CGUUUUAGAGGUUCUUUCAGAGGAUUUGCGGAAUUUAUGUGAAGAUGAGCAGGUGCAAUACAUACCACCCAAACUUGUAUGAAUUUGACCACAAGAAAAAGGGGUGCAUGAGUGUUCUUUUGUCAGACCAAAAAGAAGCUGUGGAAAAAUAUGUAGAAGCAAAUACCUUGGUAUGAAAACUGUUGGUGGUUUAAAGUGAAUGUUUCGUACGAAUUUCUGUUAUAGUAUCAAAGUAGCUUGUAACAUAUUGUUAGCAUAAGAAGUAAUAGUUUAGUCAAUCAAAUUUUCAACAUUUCUCUUCCUUUUUGGUAUGUGAUCAAGGUCCUUAAUAA
This is a non-coding RNA of Malus domestica (apple), 332 nucleotides long. The record is from RefSeq and is a predicted model, not a curated record. Lineage: Eukaryota; Viridiplantae; Streptophyta; Magnoliopsida; Rosales; Rosaceae.